AUUAAUUUUCAUGCUUAGCGAAGCGGAGUCGGCGUUGUUGGAUGCUUCCAUAUGCCUGCAUGCCUCGGCAUUGUGGGGUGUGGGAUGUGUUCCGCGAUGUUGGUUUUUGCAGACGCGAGGGCAUGUGAGUGGUAGCGUGGAUGUUUGUGUUUGCUGGCUCAAUGCUUUGGCUUUGAACGGUUUGCAUAUGAUCCUGAUCAUUUUUCAUUGUUGACUUUGUGUCUUCGAUGUUUGUCCGUUGUUGC
This 245-nucleotide long non-coding RNA is filed under the name Medicago truncatula (barrel medic). RNAcentral's name for it is "lncRNA gene22356". The record is from RNAcentral. Lineage: Eukaryota; Viridiplantae; Streptophyta; Magnoliopsida; Fabales; Fabaceae.